RNAcentral lists this ribosomal RNA (540 nucleotides) under Vibrio ezurae. RNAcentral describes it as "bacterial SSU rRNA". It matches the Rfam family "Bacterial small subunit ribosomal RNA", at positions 66 to 598 of the family's 1533-position model. Lineage: Bacteria; Pseudomonadati; Pseudomonadota; Gammaproteobacteria; Vibrionales; Vibrionaceae. The record is from RNAcentral.
UCUGAACCUUCGGGGAACGAUAACGGCGUCGAGCGGCGGACGGGUGAGUAAUGCCUGGGAAAUUGCCCUGAUGUGGGGGAUAACUAUUGGAAACGAUAGCUAAUACCGCAUAANGUCUACGGACCAAAGAGGGGGACCUUCGGGCCUCUCGCUUCAGGAUAUGCCCAGGUGGGAUUAGCUAGUUGGUGAGGUAAUGGCUCACCAAGGCGACGAUCCCUAGCUGGUCUGAGAGGAUGAUCAGCCACACUGGAACUGAGACACGGUCCAGACUCCUACGGGAGGCAGCAGUGGGGAAUAUUGCACAAUGGGCGCAAGCCUGAUGCAGCCAUGCCGCGUGUAUGAAGAAGGCCUUCGGGUUGUAAAGUACUUUCAGUCGUGAGGAAGGCNAUAUAGUUAAUAGCUAUAUUGUUUGACGUUAGCGACAGAAGAAGCACCGGCUAACUCCGUGCCAGCAGCCGCGGUAAUACGGAGGGUGCGAGCGUUAAUCGGAAUUACUGGGCGUAAAGCGCAUGCAGGUGGUUUGNUUAAGUCAGAUGUGAA